Molecule: long non-coding RNA, 289 nt
Organism: Orcinus orca (killer whale)
Lineage: Eukaryota; Metazoa; Chordata; Mammalia; Artiodactyla; Delphinidae
Exons: 3
Source: RefSeq, a predicted model, not a curated record
ACUGCCCCACGCGAGCAGUUGCUGCAGUGUAUUCAAAUGGCUGAGAGAGGGUUUUGAACCAGCGAUUAUGUGGCUCACUUGGGAGUGUACGUCACGUUACCCAGGAGCAGUUUUCUUACAAGGCUCUGGGAAGCUGAGCAUCCUUCCUCUGUGGAGAAUAGAGCUGCUGUUCUAGGACCAAACUUCACUGUGACAAACGUCUCCAGUUUUAAACCAUCUCCUAGAGAAGGGCAAACCUCAGAAGUACUUCGGGUUUGGUUCCAGACCACCACAAUAAAGCUAAUCUCAC